AAGGGGAUUAAGGGCGUGGAAUUUUUUGAUCUCCUUGUCUUCUCCGUUUCUUUUUGUCUUUUUUCUAUUUUCUCUUUUCCUGCCCUUCAGGGGCUUUUUUUUCCAGGGAUUUUGCCUUUUUUCAGCGGAAUACGUAGUAUUGUUGUGUCAUUUGGGCUAAUCUUUGUCUUCAUGCUUAUUGGGUAAUUAAACAAUUUGCCGCCGAUUUCAUUGUCUCUAAUAGUGAAAGACAGCCCAAGCCCAUAUAGGGGUUGUUCAGCUGCUGGACAUUUGA
Molecule: unclassified non-coding RNA, 274 nt
Filed under: Hevea brasiliensis (rubber tree)
Lineage: Eukaryota; Viridiplantae; Streptophyta; Magnoliopsida; Malpighiales; Euphorbiaceae
Source: RNAcentral